CUGGCUCAGGAUGAACGCUAGCGGGAGGCCUAACACAUGCAAGUCGAACGGGAUUGGGAGCUUGCUCCCAUGAGAGUGGCGCACGGGUGAGUAACGCGUAUGCAACCUACCUUUAACAGAGGGAUAGCCCAUAGAAAUGUGGAUUAAUACCUCAUAGUUCUGAGAGACCGCAUGGUUUUUCAGAUAAAGCUCCGGCGGUUAAAGAUGGGCAUGCGUGACAUUAGUUAGUUGGUGAGGUAACGGCUCACCAAGACUACGAUGUCUAGGGGUUCUGAGAGGAUGAUCCCCCACACUGGUACUGAGACACGGACCAGACUCCUACGGGAGGCAGCAGUGAGGAAUAUUGGUCAAUGGGCGCAAGCCUGGACCAGCCAUCCCGCGUGAAGGAUGAAGGCCCUAUGGGUCGUAAACUUCUUUUAUACACCAAGAAAAAGCAGGACGUGUCCUGCCCCGACGGUAGUGUAUGAAUAAGCAUCGGCUAACUCCGUGCCAGCAGCCGCGGUAAUACGGAGGAUGCAAGCGUUAUCCGGAUUCAUUGGGUUUAAAGGGUGCGUAGGCGGCUUUUUAAGUCAGUGGUGAAAUCCUGUCGCUUAACGAUAGAAUUGCCAUUGAUACUGAAGAGCUUGAGUACAAUUGAGGUAAGCGGAAUGUGUAGUGUAGCGGUGAAAUGCUUAGAUAUUACACAGAACACCGAUUGCGAAGGCAGCUUACUAAACUGUUACUGACGCUGAUGCACGAAAGCGUGGGGAGCGAACAGGAUUAGAUACCCUGGUAGUCCACGCCGUAAACGAUGAUCACUCGCUGUAUGCGAUACACAGUAUGCGGCCAAGCGAAAGCAUUAAGUG
This 845-nucleotide ribosomal RNA is filed under the name uncultured bacterium. RNAcentral's name for it is "bacterial SSU rRNA". It matches the Rfam family "Bacterial small subunit ribosomal RNA", at positions 19 to 866 of the family's 1533-position model. The record is from RNAcentral.